UAAGGAAUAUUGGUCAAUGGGCGAGAGCCUGAACCAGCCAUGCCGCGUGAAGGAAGACGGCCUUAUGGGUUGUAAACUUCUUUUAAGAGGGAAAAAACUGGGCUACGUGUAGCUCAUUGCUUGUACCUUUUGAAUAAGCAUCGGCUAACUCCGUGCCAGCAGCCGCGGUAAUACGGAGGAUGCGAGCGUUAUCCGGAUUCAUUGGGUUUAAAGGGUGCGCAGGCGGAUCAAUAAGUCAGUGGUGAAAUCCCAUAGCUUAACUAUGGAACUGCCAUUGAUACUGUUGGACUAGAGUAUGGAUGACGUAGGCGGAAUGCGACAUGUAGCGGUGAAAUGCUUAGAUAUGUCGCAGAACACCGAUUGCGAAGGCAGCUUACGAAGCCAUAACUGACGCUCAUGC
RNAcentral lists this ribosomal RNA (400 nucleotides) under uncultured bacterium. RNAcentral describes it as "bacterial SSU rRNA". It matches the Rfam family "Bacterial small subunit ribosomal RNA", at positions 355 to 752 of the family's 1533-position model. The record is from RNAcentral.